GACGGGGGGGGGCAAGUGUUCUUCGGAAUGACUGGGCGUAAAGGGCACGUAGGCGGUGAAUCGGGUUGAAAGUGAAAGUCGCCAAAAAGUGGCGGAAUGCUCUCGAAACCAAUUCACUUGAGUGAGACAGAGGAGAGUGGAAUUUCGUGUGUAGGGGUGAAAUCCGUAAAUAUACGAAGGAACGCCAAAAGCGAAGGCAGCUCUCUGGGUCCCUACCGACGCUGGGGUGCGAAAGCAUGGGGGAGCGAACAGG
Molecule: ribosomal RNA, 253 nt
Filed under: uncultured bacterium
Lineage: Bacteria
Description: partial 16S ribosomal RNA
Rfam family: Bacterial small subunit ribosomal RNA
Source: RNAcentral